This 773-nucleotide ribosomal RNA is filed under the name uncultured bacterium. RNAcentral describes it as "bacterial SSU rRNA". It matches the Rfam family "Bacterial small subunit ribosomal RNA", at positions 8 to 798 of the family's 1533-position model. The record is from RNAcentral.
AGAGUUUGAUCCUGGCUCAGGACGAACGCUGGCGGCGUGCUUAACACAUGCAAGUCGAACGGAAAGGCCCUUCGGGGUACUCGAGUGGCGAACGGAUGAGUAACACGUGGGUGAUCUGCCCUGCACUUUGGGAUAAGCCUGGGAAACUGGGUCUAAUACCGAAUAUGACCAUGCGCCUCCUGGUGUGUGGUGGAAAGCUUUUGCGGUGUGGGAUGGGCCCGCGGCCUAUCAGCUUGUUGGUGGGGUAAUGGCCUACCAAGGCGACGACGGGUAGCCGGCCUGAGAGGGUGACCGGCCACACUGGGACUGAGAUACGGCCCAGACUCCUACGGGAGGCAGCAGUGGGGAAUAUUGCACAAUGGGCGCAAGCCUGAUGCAGCGACGCCGCGUGAGGGAUGACGGCCUUCGGGUUGUAAACCUCUUUCAGCACAGACGAAGCGCAAGUGACGGUAUGUGCAGAAGAAGGACCGGCCAACUACGUGCCAGCAGCCGCGGUAAUACGUAGGGUCCGAGCGUUGUCCGGAAUUACUGGGCGUAAAGAGCUCGUAGGUGGUUUGUCGCGUUGUUCGUGAAAACUCACAGCUUAACUGUGGGCGUGCGGGCGAUACGGGCAGACUUGAGUACUGCAGGGGAGACUGGAAUUCCUGGUGUAGCGGUGGAAUGCGCAGAUAUCAGGAGGAACACCGGUGGCGAAGGCGGGUCUCUGGGCAGUAACUGACGCUGAGGAGCGAAAGCGUGGGGAGCGAACAGGAUUAGAUACCCUGGUAGUCCAA